Molecule: ribosomal RNA, 506 nt
Filed under: uncultured bacterium
Lineage: Bacteria
Description: partial 16S ribosomal RNA
Rfam family: Bacterial small subunit ribosomal RNA
Source: RNAcentral
AGUGAACGCUGGCGGUAGGCCUAACACAUGCAAGUCGAACGGCAGCACAGAGGAGCUUGCUCCUUAGGUGGCGAGUGGCGGACGGGUGAGGAAUACAUCGGAAUCUACUCUGUCGUGGGGGAUAACGUAGGGAAACUUACGCUAAUACCGCAUACGACCUACGGGUGAAAGCAGGGGACCUUAGGGCCUUGCGCGAUUGAAUGAGCCGAUGUCGGAUUAGCUAGUUGGCGGGGUAAAGGCCCACCAAGGCGACGAUCCGUAGCUGGUCUGAGAGGAUGAUCAGCCACACUGGAACUGAGACAAGGUCCAGACUCCUACGGGAGGCAGCAGUGGGGAAUAUUGGACAAUGGGCGCAAGCCUGAUCCAGCCAUACCGCGUGGGUGAAGAAGGCCUUCGUGUUGUAAAGCCCUUUUGUUGGGAAAGAAAUCCAGCUGGCUAAUACCCGGUUGGGAUGACGGUACCCAAAGAAUAAGCACCGGCUAACUUCGUGCCAGCCGCCGCGGUAA